AGGGUUGCCGUGCAGGGAGUGUCAGCCACGUCUAGCGCACAGUCCCAGGCCCCAGGGCGAAGGCGGCCAGGGGAAAUGGGGCUCAGGGAUUGCUAAGCAAACGCAUCACUGGUGGUCUCCAGCGCCUGCGGAGUAUCUUUUGCUGCCUCUUACGUAUUGUAGGCAGUGCCUGAUGGCUGAGAAGAAUCGCAGAGGACUAGAAAAGGUUUGAGUCUGAAAUUAUCUGGCACAGAGGAUUAAAGCUCAGAAAUAAGUGAUUGCGAAACAGUUCAACUUCCCUGUUAAUGACAACAACAACAGCAACACGCUUAUUAAUUCCUAGCUGGAGUUUUUCCUAAUUAACAGCAUCAAGCUUAUGAAGAUUUCCAAGACUUUAUUGUUGACCCUUGUUGAAGAGAACUCUACUUGGCUUCUUUCCUGGCUUUCCUAAAUUGUUCACAUACAAGAUAAACUACCGUCAUUCAGACUUACAGAAGUGAGAAGACAAGCUGAACCAAAUGUAAAAUGGUAGCAAUUUACAGAUGUCAGAACUAACAUGUGGAUGAACUUAGAGAUGGAGAAGAAAGCUGGGCUUUUCCAAAGAGUGGAUCUAUCUGAACUGGAUAGCACUAUUGAACUUUGUUGCAUAUUUUGUGGUAGCUCUAAAACUCCUCUGCUUGCUUACAUACAACCAGACACCAGUGCCUUCUGAAGCUAAUCCAGGCCAUUUUUAUAACCUAAUGCAGUAGCACUUUGCAAUUAGAUGAAGAAGAUCGGUGGGAUUUCUUUCUGUGGUGAUUAAAAUGUGUCAGGGGAAGAAAUCAAGACAAUACUCCAAGUGAAAAAUAUAAAGUCAGUUAUUUCUUUAAUAUUUUGUGUUAUAGUAAUCAUUUUUAUAUUUUGAGCAUACUUUUUCUUGUCUACUUAAAUACUCAAAAUUAAUUAUAAAAUGUAAAUGUAAGCACAAUGAGAUACCAUCUCAUCCCAGUUAAAAUGGCUUUUAUCAAAAAGAUAGGGAAUAAUGAAUACUGGUGGAAGGAUGUGGAGAAUGGGGAACCCUCGUACACUGUCAAUGAGAAUGUAAAUUAGUACAGCCACUAUGGAAAACUGUAUGGAAGUGCCUCCGAAAACAAAGUAGAACUACCAUGUGAUCCAGCAAUUACACUAGUGGGUAUAUAUUCAAAAGAAAGGAAAUCAACAUAUUAAAGAGAUAGCUGCAUUCUCAUGUUUAUUGAAGUCCUGUUGAAAUAGCCAAAAUAUGGAAUCAACCUAAGUGCCCAUCAGUGGAUGAAUGGUUAAAGAAAAUGUGAUUGAUAUGCAAUGGAAUAUUAUUCAGCCAUAAAAAAGAAUGAAAUCCUGGCGGGGCACAGUGGCUCAUGCAAGUAAUCCCAGCACUGACCUCAUGAAGACAGAGAGUAGAUUGGUGGUUACCAGAGGUUGAGAAGGGGAGAGGAGAGGAGGGAUGAAGAGAGGUUGAUUGAUGGAUAGAAAUAUACAGUUUGAUAAUGAUAAAUCAGUAGGGUGACUAUAGUUUAUAAUAACCUAUUGUAUGGUUCAAAAUAGCUAAAA
Molecule: long non-coding RNA, 1548 nt
Filed under: Homo sapiens (human)
Lineage: Eukaryota; Metazoa; Chordata; Mammalia; Primates; Hominidae
Description: non-protein coding MALINC1:53
Source: RNAcentral